This 1263-nucleotide ribosomal RNA is filed under the name Medon piceus. RNAcentral's name for it is "16S ribosomal RNA". The stretch from base 1024 to 1182 matches the Rfam family "Archaeal large subunit ribosomal RNA", at positions 2542 to 2701 of the family's 2987-position model. The record is from RNAcentral. Lineage: Eukaryota; Metazoa; Arthropoda; Insecta; Coleoptera; Staphylinidae.
AUUAAUAAUUUUAUUUUUUAGGUUAAUAAAAAGAAUUUGGGUUUUUAAUAAUAAUAUAAAAAAAAUAUAUUUAUGAUAGUUAAAUAGUAUUGUGAAAGAAUUUUUAUAAAUUUUUUAAAGUAAAUUUAAUUUAUUGUACCUUGUGUAUCAGGGCUUAUUUAAUUUAUAUUAAGUAUUUAAUAAUCUCGAUUUUAUAAGAGUUAAUAAAAUAUGUUUUUAUUGUUAAAUAAAUAUUAUAAAUAUUUUAUUAGUAAUGAAAUGUUAUUCGUUUAUAAAUAUAUCUAGUUUUUAAAGAAAAAAAUUUAAUUUUGUGUUUAAGUAUAAUUAAUUGAAUUUUAAAUUAGUUAUUAUUUAAAUAAAAAUAUUUUUUAGGAUAAGCUAAAAAAUAAAAAUUUAUAAAUUAAUAAUUUAUAAAUAAUGUAUAGAAUUAGAAGUAUUCAUUUUUAAUAUGUUAUAAUUAAUUAUAUUGAUUUAUAAUUUAUAUAAAAUUUCAAUUUAUUUAUUUAAAGAAUUUAUUUAAUUUUAAAAUAAAUGUAAUAAUGAUAAAAUUAGUAUAAUAAAUUGUAUGAGAUUUUUAUAUAAAAAAGUUUAAAUAAAGGAAUUCGGCAAAAUUAUUUCUCGCCUGUUUAAUAAAAACAUGUCUUUUUGAAUAUAAUUUAAAGUCUAAUCUGCCCACUGAAUUUUAAAUGGCCGCAGUAUUUUGACUGUGCAAAGGUAGCAUAAUAAUUAGUUUUUUAAUUAAAAGCUAGAAUGAAUGAUUGGACGAGGGAAUAACUGUCUCUAUUUAAUUUUUAUUAGAAUUUAAUUUUUAAGUUAAAAAGCUUAAAUAUUAUUAAAAGACGAGAAGACCCUAUAGAGUUUAAUAUUUAUUAUCUAUAAAAAAAAAUUGAAUUAGCAUUUUUUAUGUAUAUAUUAAUAUUUUAUUGGGGUGAUAGAAAAAAUUAUUUAACUUUUUUUAUAUUUAAACAUAAAUUAAUGAGUAUUUGAUCCAUAUUAAUGAUUAUAAGAUUAAAUUACCUUAGGGAUAACAGCGUAAUUUCUUUAAAGAGUUCAAAUCGAAAAGGAAGAUUGCGACCUCGAUGUUGGAUUAAAAUUAAGUUUUGGUGUAGAAGCUAAGAUUUUAGGUCUGUUCGACCUUUAAAAUUUUACAUGAUCUGAGUUUAAACCGGCGUGAGCCAGGUUGGUUUCUAUCUUUAAUAAAUAUUUAUAUUUUAGUACGAAAGGACCAAGUAUAAGUAAAAUUUAUUUUUUAAGAAUAUUAUU